CAAAUCAUCAUGCCCUUUAUGUCCUGGGCGACACACGUGCUACAAUGGCCGGUACAAGAGACGCAACCAGCGAUGGUGCGCAAAUCUCAAAAAGCCGGUCUCAGUUCAGAUCGAAGUCUGCAACUCGACUUCGUGAAGGCGGAAUUGCUAGUAAUCGCGAAUCAGCCAUGUCGCGGUGAAUACGUUCCCGGGGUUU
RNAcentral lists this ribosomal RNA (196 nucleotides) under uncultured Erysipelotrichaceae bacterium. RNAcentral describes it as "partial 16S ribosomal RNA". It matches the Rfam family "Bacterial small subunit ribosomal RNA", at positions 1186 to 1382 of the family's 1533-position model. The record is from RNAcentral. Lineage: Bacteria; Bacillati; Bacillota; Erysipelotrichia; Erysipelotrichales; Erysipelotrichaceae.